This 721-nucleotide ribosomal RNA is filed under the name Micropholcomma bryophilum. RNAcentral's name for it is "SSU rRNA". It matches the Rfam family "Eukaryotic small subunit ribosomal RNA", at positions 407 to 1130 of the family's 1831-position model. The record is from RNAcentral. Lineage: Eukaryota; Metazoa; Arthropoda; Arachnida; Araneae; Micropholcommatidae.
CUACCACAUCCAAGGAAGGCAGCAGGCGCGCAAAUUACCCACUCCCGGAACGGGGAGGUAGUGACGAAAAAUAACAAUACGGGACUCUUUUGAGACCCCGUAAUUGGAAUGAGUACACUCCAAACCCUUUAACGAGGACCCAUCAGAGGGCAAGUCUGGUGCCAGCCGCCGCGGUAAUUCCAGCUCUGAUAGCGUAUAUUAAAGUUGUUGCGGUUAAAAAGCUCGUAGUUGGAUCUCAGUUCCCGACGGGCGGUCCGCCUACCGGCGGUCACUGCCCGGUCGGAACAACACUGCCGGUUUCCCCCGAUGAUCUUCACCGGUUGUCUCGGGUGACCGGCGAGUUUACUUUGAAAAAAUUAGAGUGCUCAACGCAGGCUUUUAAGCCUGGAUAAUGGUGCAUGGAAUAAUGGAAUAGGACCUCGGUUCUAUUUUGUUGGUUUUCGGAACACGAGGUAAUGAUUAAGAGGGACAGACGGGGGCAUUCGUAUUGCGACGCUAGAGGUGAAAUUCUUGGACCGUCGCAAGACGAACUACUGCGAAAGCAUUUGCCAAGAAUGUUUCCAUUAAUCAAGAACGAAAGUUAGAGGCUCGAAGGCGAUCAGAUACCGCCCUAGUUCUAACCAUAAACGAUGCCAGCCAGCGAUCCGGCUGCGUUCCUCAAAUGACGCGCCGGGCAGCUUCCGGGAAACCAAAGCCUUUGGGUUCCGGGGGAAGUAUGGUU